UGGGCUCCGGCCAGGACGGGAAUGGGGCGGACUUUUAAUCCGCAUGCCGAGCGCGUGCGCUCGACCGAGUUCGACUCUCGGGGAGCUCAU
This 90-nucleotide transfer RNA is filed under the name Nannocystis exedens. RNAcentral describes it as "tRNA-Lys". The record is from RNAcentral. Lineage: Bacteria; Pseudomonadati; Myxococcota; Nannocystales; Nannocystaceae.